This is a long non-coding RNA of Nematostella vectensis (starlet sea anemone), 824 nucleotides long. RefSeq lists it as uncharacterized. The transcript has 2 exons. NCBI's taxonomy places the organism in Eukaryota, Metazoa, Cnidaria, Anthozoa, Actiniaria, Edwardsiidae. The record is from RefSeq and is a predicted model, not a curated record.
UUAUUGAUAAAAUUUCAGCAGUAAUCAAGCAGUGCUCAUGCGCACACAACUAAUAUGCAGAUAAACGUAAAUAUACAAUUUUUACUCUUACGCCUAAGUUCUUUACCAAAUCAUCAGAUGUUUUUGAAAAUAGACAAACAAGAUAUGAUAUCGACUUUUUAUCAAAUAUGGUUUUCUAAUAAAGAAAGACUAAGACUCAAAACUGUCUGUUCUUAUGGGGAUUAGGAUACCUGUGGAAAGUCACGCAUUCUCAUCUGGCAGACGGCUGAUCAGUUGUUGUCAUUUGAAACCAGACUCGUGUUCAAGUACUUGACCUUUACAUUGAAAUUAAUCUUACAAAUCGGCCUUUUCCCUAGAAACCUCUUGACAGAAGUAACUUCCAAGGAUGAACCAAGACUAUUAUACAGCAUCUAAAAUUAGUAUACAGCAAGGAUAGAGUUUAUUUUUGGUGAUUUGUCUCCCGUACAAACAGGUAUGUGUAUCUAAUAAAGACGGCUGUCAAGAAAAUCGCGUGUUAUUUGAGCUUGACAUGGGGUUGCGUUCGGCUUCAUUAUAAUUCGGGAAUUUGAUUCCCCCAAUUUUUUAUCUGCUGAAUCGAAAGAAAUAACACCAAUCUUUGCUCAAAGUGCAAAAUUUCUGCGAAAAUCCAUGUACCAUCGGUUUUAUAAGCCCCUAAUUUAGACUAUUAUUCAAGUCGACAUUUUUUAUUGACAUGUUUAGACAGCAAUAAAAUAUCCUUUUUUUGUCGGAAAAAGUGAAGAAACCACUCGAUUUAUACCUUAUCAACUCCUUUCUAAGGAUCUGUAUCGCUAUUUUUAAUUCCG